ACGUGAAACCGUUCGGGGGUAAACGUGAGAAACCCGAAAAUUUUUCAACCGUAGAGAUUCAAGCCUUAUCCGCGCCUCCCCUGCCUUCCAGGCCAGAUGGGUCCGACCCCCCGCACGGAGCAAUCCGGCGUCGGGUGUGGCAACGGGCAACCACUCGGCUUACUGGCGGUGGCGAGGUCGGUGGGCCGCACUUCUCUGCCUGUUGAACGUCGCGACCCGUUGGGUGUCGGUCUAAGGCCCAGGUGCGUAGCUCUGUCCGUCCGCGUCGCAAGGCGCGUUCGUCGGGCAGAACCCCUGACGUCCCGGCCGACCGCCCGACGGUAUGUAAGUACGGAGAUGAUUCGCCGACCGCGUCCGGCCCCUGGCAAGCGCGUGCGCGUGUUGUUGGAUGACGGACCUCUGGCCCGGCUCUGACCCCGCACCGCUGUUGGCUUCCGGGAUGUGCCCCGGACGGAAGAAUCUCCCGUCAGCGGCGCAUGAGCUUCGGGUAAUUUCACGACCCGUCUUGAAGCACGGACCAAGGAGUCUAACAUGUGCGCGAGUCAUUGGGUUCAAGUCUAAACCUAAAGGCGCAAUGAAAGUGAAGGUCUGCCUCGUGCGGACCGAGGGAAGAUGGGGCUCGCUCUCGGGCAGCCUCCGCAUUCCCGGGGCGUCUCGUUCUCAUUGCGAGUUGAGGCGCACCCAGAGCGUACACGUUGGGACCCGAAAGAUGGUGAACUAUGCCUGGCCAGGACGAAGUCAGGGGAAACCCUGAUGGAGGUCCGUAGCGAUUCUGACGUGCAAAUCGAUCGUCGGAGCUGGGUAUAGGGGCGAAAGACUAAUCGAACCAUCUAGUAGCUGGUUCCCUCCGAAGUUUCCCUCAGGAUAGCUGGUGCUCGAUGUCAAGUCUCAUCCGGUCAAGCGAAUGAUUAGAGGCCUUGGGGCCGAAACGACCUCAACCUAUUCUCAAACUUUAAAUGGGUGAGAUCUCCGGCUUGCUUGACUGAAGCCGCGAGAUGUCUUUUGGAUGCGAGUGCCAAGUGGGCCACUUUUGGUAAGCAGAACUGGCGCUGUGGGAUGAACCAAACGCAGAGUUAAGGCGCCCGAAUAGACGCUCAUGGGAAACCAUGAAAGGCGUUGGUUGCUUAAGACAGCAGGACGGUGGCCAUGGAAGUCGGAAUCCGCUAAGGAGUGUGUAACAACUCACCUGCCGAAGCAACUAGCCCUGAAAAUGGAUGGCGCUGAAGCGUCUUGCCUAUACUCUGCCGUCAGCCCGGCAAUGAGGGGCGCGCGCUCUCACUUCGGUGGGGCCCGCCCCGUGAGGCCCUGACGAGUAGGAGGGUCGCGGCGGUGAGCGCAGAAGGGUCUGGGCGUAAGCCUGCCUGGAGCCGCCGUCGGUGCAGAUCUUGGUGGUAGUAGCAAAUACUCCAGCGAGGCCCUGGAGGACUGACGUGGAGAAGGGUUUCGUGUGAACAGCCGUUGCACACGAGUCAGUCGAUCCUAAGCCCUAGGAGAAAUCCGAUGUUGAUGGGGUCCGAAAAAAUCUCUUCUUAAGCUGGAUUGGACCCCAUGGGGCGAAAGGGAAUCCGGUUCCUAUUCCGGAACCCGGCAGCGGAACCGUAACCAGUCGGGCCCCUCUCUUUCAGAGAAGCUCGUCGGGGUAACCCAAGAGGACCCGGAGACGCCGUCGGGAGAUCGGGGAAGCGUUUUCUUUUCUGCAUGAGCGUUCGAGUUCCCUGGAAUCCUCUAGCAGGGAGAUAGGGUUUGGAACGCGAAGAGCACCGCAGU
Molecule: ribosomal RNA, 1767 nt
Filed under: Conocephalus sp. OR609
Lineage: Eukaryota; Metazoa; Arthropoda; Insecta; Orthoptera; Tettigoniidae
Description: eukaryotic LSU rRNA
Rfam family: Eukaryotic large subunit ribosomal RNA
Source: RNAcentral